GUCCUUUUGUGGUUCUUAAGUGUGAUGAUUGGGUGUUCACCUGCAUGUGUGACAUGUGCUGCCCUCGAAUCUUGUUACACACUGGCACAUUACCAAUCUGAUG
This is a small nucleolar RNA of Nannospalax galili (Upper Galilee mountains blind mole rat), 103 nucleotides long. RefSeq annotates it as small nucleolar RNA U13. The transcript has a single exon. The record is from RefSeq and is a predicted model, not a curated record. NCBI's taxonomy places the organism in Eukaryota, Metazoa, Chordata, Mammalia, Rodentia, Spalacidae.